UACGUAGGGGGCGAGCGUUGUUCGGAAUUACUGGGCGUAAAGGGCGUGUAGGCGGUGCGAUAAGUCGGAUGUGAAAUCCCCGGGCUCAACCCGGGGCGGUCAUUCGAAACUGUCGCGCUAGAGGGUGGGAGAGGGAAGUGGAAUUCCCGGUGUAGCGGUGAAAUGCGUAGAUAUCGGGAAGAACACCGGUGGCGAAGGCGGCUUCCUGGCCCACAACUGACGCUGAGGCGCGAAAGCUAGGGGAGCAAACAGG
This 253-nucleotide ribosomal RNA is filed under the name Acidobacterium sp. RNAcentral describes it as "partial 16S ribosomal RNA". It matches the Rfam family "Bacterial small subunit ribosomal RNA", at positions 524 to 776 of the family's 1533-position model. RNAcentral also lists the same sequence under 1 other name. The record is from RNAcentral. Lineage: Bacteria; Pseudomonadati; Acidobacteriota; Terriglobia; Terriglobales; Acidobacteriaceae.